AGUGAGGANUAUGGUCAAUGGAUGGAAAUCUGANCCAGCCAAGUAGCGUGCAGGAUGACNGCCCUAUGGGUUGUAAANUGCUUUUAUGUGAGAAUAAAGUUAGGUAUGUAUACUUAUUUGCAUGUAUCACAUGAAUAAGGACCGGCUAAUUCCGUGCCAGCAGCCGCGGUAAUACGGAAGGUCCAGGCGUUAUCCGGAUUUAUUGGGUUUAAAGGGUGCGUAGGCCGUUUGAUAAGCGUGCUGUGAAAUAUAGUGGCUCAACCUCUAUCGUGCAGCGCGAACUGUCGAACUUGAGUGCGUAGUAGGUAGGCGGAAUUCGUGGUGUAGCGGUGAAAUGCUUAGAUAUCACGAAGAACUCCGAUUGCGAAGGCAGCUUACCGUAACGUUACUGACGCUUAAGCACGAAGGGGCGGGUAUCGAACAGG
RNAcentral lists this ribosomal RNA (425 nucleotides) under Hoylesella nanceiensis. RNAcentral's name for it is "bacterial SSU rRNA". It matches the Rfam family "Bacterial small subunit ribosomal RNA", at positions 353 to 776 of the family's 1533-position model. Lineage: Bacteria; Pseudomonadati; Bacteroidota; Bacteroidia; Bacteroidales; Prevotellaceae. The record is from RNAcentral.